RNAcentral lists this ribosomal RNA (1112 nucleotides) under Phragmocapnias siamensis. RNAcentral's name for it is "SSU rRNA". It matches the Rfam family "Eukaryotic small subunit ribosomal RNA", at positions 43 to 1163 of the family's 1831-position model. Lineage: Eukaryota; Fungi; Ascomycota; Dothideomycetes; Capnodiales; Capnodiaceae. The record is from RNAcentral.
AUGGGGACCUUGUCUUGUUCUAGUAUAAGCAACUAUACGGUGAAACUGCGAAUGGCUCAUUAAAUCAGUUAUCGUUUAUUUGAUAGUACUUUACUACAUGGAUAACCGUGGUAAUUCUAGAGCUAAUACAUGCUAAAAACCCCGACUUCGGGAGGGGUGUAUUUAUUAGAUAAAAAACCAAUGCCCUUCGGGGCUCUAUGGUGAAUCAUAAUAACUUAACGAAUCGCAUGGCCUUGCGCCGGCGAUGGUUCAUUCAAAUUUCUGCCCUAUCAACUUUCGAUGGUAGGAUAGUGGCCUACCAUGGUAUCAACGGGUAACGGGGAAUUAGGGUUCUAUUCCGGAGAGGGAGCCUGAGAAACGGCUACCACAUCCAAGGAAGGCAGCAGGCGCGCAAAUUACCCAAUCCCGACACGGGGAGGUAGUGACAAUAAAUACUGAUACAGGGCUCUUUUGGGUCUUGUAAUUGGAAUGAGUACAAUUUAAAUACCUUAACGAGGAACAAUUGGAGGGCAAGUCUGGUGCCAGCAGCCGCGGUAAUUCCAGCUCCAAUAGCGUAUAUUAAAGUUGUUGCAGUUAAAAAGCUCGUAGUUGAACCUUGGGCCUGGCUGGCCGGUCCGCCUCACCGCGUGUACUGGUCCGGCCGGGCCUUUCCUUCUGGGGAACCGCAUGCCCUUCACUGGGCGUGUGUGGGAACCAGGACUUUUACUUUGAAAAAAUUAGAGUGUUCAAAGCAGGCCUUUGCUCGAAUACAUUAGCAUGGAAUAAUAGAAUAGGACGUGUGGUUCUAUUUUGUUGGUUUCUAGGACCGCCGUAAUGAUUAAUAGGGAUAGUCGGGGGCAUCUGUAUUCAAUUGUCAGAGGUGAAAUUCUUGGAUUUAUUGAAGACAAACUACUGCGAAAGCAUUUGCCAAGGAUGUUUUCAUUAAUCAGUGAACGAAAGUUAGGGGAUCGAAGACGAUCAGAUACCGUCGUAGUCUUAACAUAAACUAUGCCGACUAGGGAUCGGGGGGUGUUAUCAUUUUGACCUCCUCGGCACCUUACGAGAAAUCAAGUUCUUUGGGUUCUGGGGGGAGUAUGUCCGCAAGGCUGAAACUUAAAGGAAUUGACGGAGAA